CUGCUGCUGGUUUCUGCUUUGCCUUUAAAUCAAGUCCAAGUUUCAGGCCACAGAAGCCACCAAAGAAGAGAAAUGUUGUCACCCUGUAUCUACUGUAUUGCAGAGAGCCUCUGCCCCUCCAUGCGGUACCCAAGAAAGCUCCUGCUUCCUGACCUGCUCGAGUUCCUGUCCUGACUUCCUUUGGUGAUGAACAGCAAUGUGGAAGUGUAAGCUGAAUAAACCCUUUCCUCCUCAA
Molecule: long non-coding RNA, 235 nt
Organism: Rattus norvegicus (Norway rat)
Lineage: Eukaryota; Metazoa; Chordata; Mammalia; Rodentia; Muridae
Source: RefSeq, a predicted model, not a curated record